CUGAGGGAACGGACUAGUUUUUAUAACAAUCCACUUUUUGCCGCCACAUUGUUACUGCAUUUUAUGAAUCGGAAAAUCAGUUUGUAAUGGAUUGGAGGUGGGGGGGGAUGUGAGCAAUCACCACACAUUGUUUGGAAUGUUGUCCUGGGCCCUCCCUGCAUCUUCUGGACCCAGCUCUCCACCGCUUCAGCUUCUCUGGGAUCACUACCAGGGGCUACAUCUUGUUGUUUGCAUGUGGUUUUUUAUAGCUCUAUGUGAAAAGUGGUUCUUUCCUCCCUAGGCCACUUUCUUCCCUAGAAACCUUUUCAGUUGUUGGAAACAAAGGUUUGUGCAUAUCACCUGGAGCAAAGGCGCGGUGGGCAUGGUCAUGGCCAAGUUUCACCUGGAGAGAAGCUGGAUGCAUAACGGUGACACAUGAUGGGAUCCAAGGCAGCAGGCAGAGAGAAAAGCCAGAGAGGACGAAGAUGGAAGGCAACCUCACUGAGGACUCUGCUGUCCCGCGGGGAGGCGCCCCCCCCCCCCCGUUCCGAAGGGCUUCCAGGGCCAUCAGCUGCCUGAGGUGGGGUGGAGGGCAAGCGCGUUACUGAGGUGUAGGCAGCUGGGGGUUUUGUUAAAGAUCUUUCUAUUGGGGCGCCUGGGUUGCUCAGUGGGUUAAGCCACUGCCUCCGGCUCAGGUCAUGAUCCCAGGGUCCUGGGAUCGAGUCUCGCAUCAGGCUCUCUGCUCAGCGAGGAGCCUGCUUCUUCCUCUCUCUCUCUGCCUGCCUCUCUGCCUACUUGUGAUCUCU
Molecule: long non-coding RNA, 785 nt
Filed under: Mustela putorius furo (domestic ferret)
Lineage: Eukaryota; Metazoa; Chordata; Mammalia; Carnivora; Mustelidae
Description: lncRNA (ENSMPUG00000025722.1)
Source: RNAcentral